This is a long non-coding RNA of Lucilia cuprina (Australian sheep blowfly), 325 nucleotides long. RefSeq lists it as uncharacterized. The record is from RefSeq and is a predicted model, not a curated record. The transcript has 2 exons. Lineage: Eukaryota; Metazoa; Arthropoda; Insecta; Diptera; Calliphoridae.
CAGAACUGCUAUAUAAACUCACUUGCCGUUUACAUUCUUAUCAAUCAGUUUUGCAACUUUAGCUAAAAUGAAAUUAUUUCAAAUAAUAUUGGUUGUGGCUUGUGCUAUUGCUGCUGUCUCCUGUUAUCCCGGCAAUAACGUAAUUGGCGGAAAUGGCAAUACAAACAAUAGGCAGACCAAUGGUGAUGGCAAGGUUUGCGCUUUGUGUGGUUAAUAAUUUUAAAUGAUAUUUUUCAUGUCAUUUUUAAAUUUUUUGCAAAAUGCGUAUGCAAAAAACAAAAUCAAUUUUUUUAUUAUUUAAUAAAAUAAGUUUAAAGAAUAAAAA